This 277-nucleotide ribosomal RNA is filed under the name uncultured soil bacterium. RNAcentral describes it as "partial 16S ribosomal RNA". It matches the Rfam family "Bacterial small subunit ribosomal RNA", at positions 26 to 287 of the family's 1533-position model. The record is from RNAcentral.
AGAACGAACGCUGGCGGCGUGCCUAACACAUGCAAGUCGAACGAGAAAGGGGCUUCGGCUCCGAGUAAAGUGGCGCACGGGUGAGUAACACGUAGGUAACCUGCCUCUAAGAUUGGGAUAACUUGUCGAAAGACGAGCUAAUACCAAAUAAGACCACGGUCUCCUCGGGGACAGAGGUCAAAGGUAGCCUCUAUUUAUAAGCUAUCGCUGAGAGAUGGGCCUGCGUACCAUUAGCUUGUUGGUGAGGUAACGGCUCACCAAGGCCAAGAUGGUUAGC